RNAcentral lists this ribosomal RNA (1130 nucleotides) under uncultured bacterium. RNAcentral describes it as "bacterial SSU rRNA". It matches the Rfam family "Bacterial small subunit ribosomal RNA", at positions 1 to 1104 of the family's 1533-position model. The record is from RNAcentral.
UGAGUUUGAUCCUGGCUCAGGACGAACGCUGGCGGCGUGCCUAAUACAUGCAAGUCGAGCGAGCUGAACCAGCAGAUUCACUUCGGUGAUGAUGCUGGGAACGCGAGCGGCGGAUGGGUGAGUAACACGUGGGUAACCUGCCCUAAAGUCUGGGAUACCACUUGGAAACAGGUGCUAAUACCGGAUAACAACAAUAGCUGCAUGGCUAUUGCUUAAAAGGCGGCGUAAGCUGUCGCUAAAGGAUGGACCCGCGGUGCAUUAGCUAGUUGGUAAGGUAACGGCUUACCAAGGCGACGAUGCAUAGCCGAGUUGAGAGACUGAUCGGCCACAUUGGGACUGAGACACGGCCCAAACUCCUACGGGAGGCAGCAGUAGGGAAUCUUCCACAAUGGGCGAAAGCCUGAUGGGGCAACGCCGCGUGAGUGAAGAAGGUUUUCGGAUCGUAAAGCUCUGUUGUUGGUGAAGAAGGAUAGAGGUAGUAACUGGCCCCUAUUUGACGGUAAUCAACCAGAAAGUCACGGCUAACUACGUGCCAGCAGCCGCGGUAAUACGUAGGUGGCAAGCGUUGUCCGGAUUUAUUGGGCGUAAAGCGAGCGCAGGCGGAAAGAUAAGUCUGAUGUGAAAGCCCCCGGCUUAACCGAGGAAUUGCAUCGGAAACUGUGUUUCCUGAGUGCAGAAGAGGAGAGUGGAACUCCAUGUGUAGCGGUGGAACGCGUAGAUAUAUGGAAGAACACCAGUGGCGAAGGCGGCUCUCUGGUCUGUAACUGACGCUGAGGCUCGAAAGCAUGGGUAGCGAACAGGAUUAGAUACCCUGGUAGUCCAUGCCGUAAACGAUGAGUGCUAAGUGUUGGGAGGUUUCCGCCUCUCAGUGCUGCAGCUAACGCAUUAAGCACUCCGCCUGGGGAGUACGACCGCAAGGUUGAAACUCAAAGGAAUUGACGGGGGCCCGCACAAGCGGUGGAGCAUGUGGUUUAAUUCGAAGCAACGCGAAGAACCUUACCAGGUCUUGACAUCUAGUGCCAUCCUAAGAGAUUAGGAGUUCCCUUCGGGGACGCUAAGACAGGUGGUGCAUGGCUGUCGUCAGCUCGUGUCGUGAGAUGUUGGGUUAAGUCCCGCAACGAGCGCAACCC